GAGGGUUUUUAGUCGGUAGACACUCCUACCAGAAGUGAAUCCGACACUACCCCCCCCUUUUGGGGGGUGUCUUUAGAAGAUUUCCCCUC
Molecule: non-coding RNA, 89 nt
Organism: Agrilus planipennis (emerald ash borer)
Lineage: Eukaryota; Metazoa; Arthropoda; Insecta; Coleoptera; Buprestidae
Source: Rfam